RNAcentral lists this long non-coding RNA (1307 nucleotides) under Olea europaea subsp. europaea. The record is from RNAcentral. Lineage: Eukaryota; Viridiplantae; Streptophyta; Magnoliopsida; Lamiales; Oleaceae.
CACAAACACACAUUAAAGUGUGUUGAACGAGAGAGAACGUGGAGAAGAGGAGAAAGUGAAGAUAAGAAAAAGAAAGGAAUGAAAAAAAAAGGAAAAGGAAAGAAGAAAUCUUGUGCCAACUACCUCAAUCUUGUUUAUUUAAUUCUUCAAGAGGUAAGGUUAAUAAUUUAUGAUUUAGUUUUUGUAAAUUUUUGUUUAGGGUUUUAAAUUUAUAACUUAUACUUGAAAAAUAUGAGAAGGAAGCUAACUAUUUGAGUAUUUGGAGCUAGUUAUUUUAGUGGAUUGGAAAAAAUGAUAAUUAGAUAUUAGGGUUUUGUCAUAUAUGGCUUAAUCCGAAAAUUUGGGGAAAAAUUUGAAUUCUUGUUAUUUUCCCUUGUGAUUGUUUUAUGGUAUUAUUAAGUUAGAUUAGUUGAAAAUAACUUAUCUUAUGCUUGAAUUCUCACUUUGGAUGAAUAUGAAGAAUAUAAGAAAUGAGCUUUUGAUAAGAUUUAUGUAUUUAGUUAAAAGAGAAUUUAAAUAAAGAAUGUGGACGAUUAUUAUCAUGAAAGCUUGUUGAAUCUUUAUAGGGCAGUCAAGAAAUGUUAGUAUUAACGAAUGAGGGAUGUAGAGUGAUUCGAAAUUAAUUGAACGUAUGUUUAAGUAACCAAAUGAAAUAUAAAUAUAAGUCUCAACUUAUUGCUUAUUGAGGGAUAUAUAUUUUAUUUUGAUGAUAAGAAAGGGUUAUUAUUGAGAAAUCUCUUGUAACUGUAUAUGAAUGGAAUUGAAGUAGCUUAUAUUUAUGAUCGUUUCAGGAGGGGAUUUGAACGUGGGAACAGCAUACCGGCCCCGUCGACCAUGUACUAGAGUCAUGUAUUUAACUCUUAUCCACUAAGGGGCUACGGUCGUGGGUAAAGGUAUCUAAUAUACAUUGAGGGGGCUACAGUCAUGUGUAAAGGUAACUCUUAUCCACUGAGGGGCUACGACCGUGGGUAAAGGUAUCCAUUAUACACUGAGGGGUUACAGCCGUGUAUAAGGAUGAUUAUGUUGUUUCCAUCUUGUACACUGAGGGGCUACGGCUGCGUACAGAAUAUUGAUCAGACAGUUUAUGUACAUAUGAUUUAUAGUUUUCAGAUCAUUAGUAGAUGUAUACUUGGGAUAUAUUUUGAUGUGAAUUUUAAGUAUAUAGUGGAUUAUUAGUCUUCAUCUUACAUUUUUCCCGCUUACAGUUCAGCUUUUGGAUUUUAGAUUAUGGUUUUUUGUUAUUGAAUUGUCUAAUGUACUUACUCAUCUGGUUGUGUGAGUGUGUGUGUGUGUGUGUAUAUAUAUAU